This 910-nucleotide ribosomal RNA is filed under the name uncultured bacterium. RNAcentral's name for it is "bacterial SSU rRNA". It matches the Rfam family "Bacterial small subunit ribosomal RNA", at positions 9 to 916 of the family's 1533-position model. The record is from RNAcentral.
GAGUUUGAUCCUGGCUCAGGAUGAACGCUGGCGGCGUGCCUAAUACAUGCAAGUCGAACGAAUCUUCUUCGGAAGAUGAGUGGCGAACGGGUGAGUAAUACAUAGGUAACCUGCCCCUGUGCGGGGGAUAACAGGAGGAAACUCCUGCUAAUACCGCAUAGCCAUGAGCACCGCAUGGAGCUCAUGCCAAAUAUCCUUCAGGGGAUAGCGCAGGGAUGGACCUAUGGCGCAUUAGCUAGUUGGCGGGGCAACGGCCCACCAAGGCAACGAUGCGUAGCCGGCCUGAGAGGGCGGACGGCCACAUUGGGACUGAGACACGGCCCAGACUCCUACGGGAGGCAGCAGUAGGGAAUUUUCGGCAAUGGGGGAAACCCUGACCGAGCAACGCCGCGUGAGCGAAGAAGGCCUUCGGGUCGUAAAGCUCUGUUGUAAAGGAAGAACGUCGCAUGCAGGAAAUGGUGUGCGAGUGACGGUACUUUACCAGAAAGCCACGGCUAACUACGUGCCAGCAGCCGCGGUAAUACGUAGGUGGCGAGCGUUAUCCGGAAUCAUUGGGCGUAAAGAGGGAGCAGGCGGCCGCAAGGGUCUGUGGUGAAAGACCGAAGCUAAACUUCGGUAAGCCAUGGAAACCGGGCGGCUAGAGUGCGGAAGAGGAUCGUGGAAUUCCAUGUGUAGCGGUGAAAUGCGUAGAUAUAUGGAGGAACACCAGUGGCGAAGGCGACGGUCUGGGCCGCAACUGACGCUCAUUCCCGAAAGCGUGGGGAGCAAAUAGGAUUAGAUACCCUAGUAGUCCACGCCGUAAACGAUGGUCACUAAGUGUCGGGGGUCAAACCCCGGUGCUGCAGUCAACGCAAUAAGUGACCCGCCUGAGUAGUACGUUCGCAAGAAUGAAACUCAAAUGAAUUGACGG